GGGUAGGGUGGCCGAGUAGGCGGCGAGUUGUAGCCUCGUGUACGGGAGAUAGAGCCCCCCAACCAA
This 66-nucleotide transfer RNA is filed under the name Cyrtodactylus sp. CDS-2010a. RNAcentral describes it as "tRNA-Tyr". Lineage: Eukaryota; Metazoa; Chordata; Lepidosauria; Squamata; Gekkonidae. The record is from RNAcentral.